ACACUGCUGACGACUCCUAAACAGGACGAAACAGCUGUCCAGUAC
Molecule: non-coding RNA, 45 nt
Filed under: Echinostoma caproni
Lineage: Eukaryota; Metazoa; Platyhelminthes; Trematoda; Plagiorchiida; Echinostomatidae
Source: RNAcentral